UACAGAGGGUGCAAGCGUUGUUCGGAAUUACUGGGCGUAAAGCGCGUGUAGGCGGCUAAGUAAGUCGGGCGUGAAAUCCCACGGCUCAACCGUGGAAGUGCACUCGAAACUGCAUAGCUAGAGUCCUGGAGAGGAAGGUGGAAUGCUUGGUGUAGAGGUGAAAUUCGUAGAUAUCAAGCGGAACACCGGUGGCGAAGGCGGCAUCCUGGACCGACACUGACACUGAGGAGCGAAAGCCAGGGGAGCAAACGGG
Molecule: ribosomal RNA, 253 nt
Filed under: uncultured bacterium
Lineage: Bacteria
Description: partial 16S ribosomal RNA
Rfam family: Bacterial small subunit ribosomal RNA
Source: RNAcentral